RNAcentral lists this ribosomal RNA (253 nucleotides) under uncultured bacterium. Its description in RNAcentral is "partial 16S ribosomal RNA". It matches the Rfam family "Bacterial small subunit ribosomal RNA", at positions 524 to 776 of the family's 1533-position model. The record is from RNAcentral.
GACAGAGGGUGCAAACGUUGUUCGGAAUUACUGGGCGUAAAGCGAGUGUAGGCGGUUUCGUAAGUCGGAUGUGAAAGCCCCGGGCUCAACCCGGGAAGUGCACUCGAUACUGCGAGGCUAGAGUAUCGGAGAGGUUGGUGGAAUUCUCGGUGUAGAGGUGAAAUUCGUAGAUAUCGAGAGGAACACCGGUGGCGAAGGCGGCCAACUGGACGAAUACUGACGCUGAGACUCGAAAGCGUGGGGAGCAAACAGG